UUUAAAAAAAUACGCCGUCUGGGAGCUUUACUAGGACUCACUAGAAAAACACCUAAAUCCGGAAGUAAUCUUAAAAAAUUCAAUUCUGGGAAAAAGGAGCAAUAUCGUAUUCGUCUUCAAGAAAAACAGAAAUUGCGUUUUCAUUAUGGUCUGACAGAACGACAAUUACUUAGAUAUGUACAUAUCGCUGGAAAAGCAAAAAGGUCAACAGGCCAGGUUUUACUAAAAUUACUUGAAAUGCGUUUGGAUAAUAUCCUUUCUCGAUUGGGUAUGGCUUCAACCAUUCCUGGGGCCCGCCAAUUAGUCAACCAUAGACAUAUUUUAGUUAAUGGUCGUAUAGUCAAUAUACCAAGUUUUCGUUGCAAACCCAGAGAUAUUAUUACUACGAAAGAUAACCAAAGAUCAAAAGGUCUGGUUCAAAAUUAUAUUGCUUCAUCGGACCCGGGGAAAUUGCCAAAGCAUUUGGCGAUUGACACGUUGGAAUAUAAAGGACUAGUAAAUAAAGUCCUAGAUAGGAAGUGGGUCGGUCUCAAAAUAAAUGAGUUGUUAGUUGUAGAAUAUUACUCUCGUCAGACUUGA
Molecule: ribosomal RNA, 579 nt
Filed under: Triticum aestivum (bread wheat)
Lineage: Eukaryota; Viridiplantae; Streptophyta; Magnoliopsida; Poales; Poaceae
Description: partial small subunit ribosomal RNA
Source: RNAcentral